This is a long non-coding RNA of Thunnus maccoyii (southern bluefin tuna), 985 nucleotides long. RefSeq lists it as uncharacterized. The record is from RefSeq and is a predicted model, not a curated record. Lineage: Eukaryota; Metazoa; Chordata; Actinopteri; Scombriformes; Scombridae. The transcript is spliced from 3 exons.
AAAUUAUUUCUCACUGACACGGAUUUGUGGUUUUUCCUUAAUUACCCUCUCGGGGAAAACCUCAGUGGCCGCAGGUGUGACCCGUACAGAGCAAAUCCACGAUACAAACAGGCGGAGUUUGACACUGGCUGACUUCUUUCCAUCCUGAGUGGAGCUGAGGUGGAGCGAACAAGUGGCAGCCACCAUGACUCAUGCAACCAUGUCACCAGAUAUACCUGAUCAUCUUCAUGGAUCCACCAUCUCAAGACACUCCACAGUGGACCUGAGGGGUUUUUGAAGCCACCGACUAUUGACACAUUUCCUACAGGUAUAAAUAUAUCUACCCAUGGAUGUUGUAAAUUACGAAGAGCUCAUGAAGGCAACAUAGCUCCCAACCCACCUCACGUCACAAACCACUGUGGAUUUAUGGGAAUCGUAGUUUAUUUUACAUAUCAAUAGAGGUUACAUUGUUAUUUUGAUUUGAUUGUACAUUAUAUAGUAUUAUUUUAAAUUAUGUAUUGUUGUUUUCUAACUUUGACCAGAAACAUAGUUGAUAUUUUCACUUUUUUACUGUUUUCAGUCACUGUAAGAGACCAAAACAACGCUGUUCAUUCAACCCACAGCCUGACGAGGACAUGAAGCUUUAAUAUUUAAUGACACAGCGCCACCAACUGGUUAAAGACCAGCUCACAUUGUAACAUACUAAUAACUUAUUAUGAUGAGGAGGUAGUAACAAAUAUAUGAGCGUUUUGAUCCCUUCAAUUGAUACCUAAAGGUCAGACAGAGGAAUAAAACAACCAGUAUGUCAGGAAUCAUAUUUAUAUACAUUUUGGUUUGCAUAUUUUUUGUAAUUUGUUUGAAUCUGGUGCAAAUUAGCAUCAACUAAACGUCCUAUAUACACAUUACUGUUGUAUUGCUUAUGUGUAAUAAUGUUUAUUUGUAUGGUCCUUGUUAAAUAAACUAAUGAAAUAACAAUAAAUAUCAAUUACAGUUUGUAUAGUUUCUU